GCAGUCGCCGCGGGAAUACGGAGGGAGCUAGCGUUGUUCGGAAUUACUGGGCGUAAAGCGCACGUAGGCGGCUAUUCAAGUCAGGGGUGAAAGCCCGGGGCUCAACCCCGGAACUGCCUUUGAAACUAGAUAGCUUGAAUCUUGGAGAGGCGAGUGGAAUUCCGAGUGUAGAGGUGAAAUUCGUAGAUAUUCGGAAGAACACCAGUGGCGAAGGCGACUCGCUGGACAAGUAUUGACGCUGAGGUGCGAAAGCGUGGGGAGCAAACAGGAUUAGAUACCCGUGUAGUCCCUGUCUCUUAUAA
Molecule: ribosomal RNA, 302 nt
Filed under: uncultured bacterium
Lineage: Bacteria
Description: partial 16S ribosomal RNA
Rfam family: Bacterial small subunit ribosomal RNA
Source: RNAcentral